Molecule: transfer RNA, 67 nt
Filed under: Leucophlebia lineata
Lineage: Eukaryota; Metazoa; Arthropoda; Insecta; Lepidoptera; Sphingidae
Description: tRNA-Leu
Source: RNAcentral
ACUAUUUUGGCAGAAAAAUGUAAUGAUUUUAGAAUUCAUUAAUAUAUAAUUUAUUAUAUAUAUAGUA